RNAcentral lists this ribosomal RNA (373 nucleotides) under uncultured bacterium. Its description in RNAcentral is "bacterial SSU rRNA". It matches the Rfam family "Bacterial small subunit ribosomal RNA", at positions 28 to 424 of the family's 1533-position model. The record is from RNAcentral.
GACGAACGCUGGCGGCGUGCUUAACACAUGCAAGUCGAGCGGAAAGGCCCUUCGGGGUACUCGAGCGGCGAACGGGUGAGUAACACGUGGGAACGUGCCUUUUGGUUCGGAACAACUCAGGGAAACUUGAGCUAAUACCGGAUGUGCCCUUCGGGGAAGAUUUAUCGCCAUUAGAGCGGCCCGCGUCUGAUUAGCUAGUUGGUGGGGUAAAGGCCUACCAAGGCUACGAUCAGUAGCUGGUCUGAGAGGAUGAUCAGCCACAUUGGGACUGAGACACGGCCCAAACUCCUACGGGAGGCAGCAGUGGGGAAUCUUGCGCAAUGGGCGAAAGCCUGACGCAGCCAUGCCGCGUGAAUGAUGAAGGUCUUAGAUU